CGUGAGUAACCUGCCCUGGAGUGGGGAAUAACAGCUGGAAACAGCUGCUAAUACCGCAUAAUGCAGUUGGGCCGCAUGGCUCUGACUGCCAAAGAUUUAUCGCUCUGGGAUGGACUCGCGUCUGAUUAGCUAGUUGGUGGGGCAACGGCCCACCAAGGCGACGAUCAGUAGCCGGCCUGAGAGGGUGGACGGCCACAUUGGGACUGAGACACGGCCCAAACUCCUACGGGAGGCAGCAG
This 239-nucleotide ribosomal RNA is filed under the name uncultured bacterium. RNAcentral's name for it is "partial 16S ribosomal RNA". It matches the Rfam family "Bacterial small subunit ribosomal RNA", at positions 116 to 354 of the family's 1533-position model. The record is from RNAcentral.